AACGAACGCUGGCGGCAGGCCUAACACAUGCAAGUCGAACGGGAUCUUCGGAUCUAGUGGCGGACGGGUGAGUAACGCGUGGGACCGUGCCCUUUGGUUCGGAAUAGCCCCGGGAAACUGGGAGUAAUACCGGCUAAGCUCUACGGAGGAAAGAUGUAUCGCCUAAGGACCGGCCCGCGUUGGAUUAGUUAGUUGGUGAGGUAAUGGCUCACCAAGCCGACGAUCCAUAGCUGGUUUGAGAGGAUGAUCAGCCACACUGGGACUGAGACACGGCCCAGACUCUUACGGGAGGCAGCAGUGGGGAAUCUUAGACAAUGGGGGAAACCCUGAUCUAGCCAUGCCGCGUGAUCGAUGAAGGCCUUAGGGUUGUAAAGAUCUUUCAGUGGGGAAGAUAAUGACUGUACCCACAGAAGAAGCCCCGGCUAACUCCGUGCCAGCCGCCGCCGUAA
RNAcentral lists this ribosomal RNA (449 nucleotides) under uncultured bacterium. RNAcentral describes it as "partial 16S ribosomal RNA". It matches the Rfam family "Bacterial small subunit ribosomal RNA", at positions 29 to 523 of the family's 1533-position model. The record is from RNAcentral.